Molecule: long non-coding RNA, 499 nt
Filed under: Camarhynchus parvulus
Lineage: Eukaryota; Metazoa; Chordata; Aves; Passeriformes; Thraupidae
Description: lncRNA (ENSCPVG00000018135.1)
Source: RNAcentral
GGAAAAAUGUUUAACUUUCCCCUUGCUCAUCACAUCAUAUUUUGCUGUGCUCAGAGUAAAAUAUGGACAUGCACACAAAUAUGUGUGUGUCUAUUUGCAUGUAACUGUGUAGAGUUAUCUAGGAUGUUUCCCAUGGUUAUCUUCACAGAAUCAUAAGUAUUCAAGUUGGCAUAAGUAAUGCUGAAAUUAUGGAAACGGUGAGGAAGAUGUUUAAAUGCCUUCCUGAGCAGGUGAUGUCCAUCAGCACUGGAAGCAGAUGUUACUACCUCGUUGGGGACAGCAGGCAGGAAAUAGAUGACUGGGUCACUCUGAUAUCUUCCGUCUGCAGGGAGGACAAAAGAAGUGGAUGCUGCCCUCAGAACCAAGAUCUUCCAAAUCCAGAAGUCAGAAGCCGGACUUCCUCUUUGCCCCUAUUUUUGAGUUCUGUAGAUAUGGCCAGCUUUCCAGACAGGCAAAGCUGCCAGAAGGUAAACAAAUUAACUGUCCUUAAUAACGAGUC